RNAcentral lists this non-coding RNA (27 nucleotides) under Homo sapiens (human). Lineage: Eukaryota; Metazoa; Chordata; Mammalia; Primates; Hominidae. The record is from RNAcentral.
CGAAUCAGAGCCGUGCCCAAGAUAUCC